Long non-coding RNA from Gasterosteus aculeatus aculeatus (three-spined stickleback), 3324 nucleotides. Lineage: Eukaryota; Metazoa; Chordata; Actinopteri; Perciformes; Gasterosteidae. The record is from Ensembl.
AGACUGUCGUGGGACAGUCGUGAGACAGUCGUGGGACAGUCGUGGGACAGUCGUGGGACAGUCGUGGAACAGUCGUGGAACAGUCGUGAGACUGUCGUGGGACUGUCGUGGAACAGUCGUGAGACUGUCGUGGGACUGUCGUGAGACAGUCGUGAGACAGUCGUGAGACAGUCAUGGGACUGUCGUAGGACAGUCGUGAGACAGUCGUGGAACAGUCGUGAGACUGUCGUGAGACUGUCGUGGGACUGUCGUGGGACUUUCUGCGAGACAGUUGUGAGAAGUCUAAGACGGUCGGUGAGACAGUCUUACAGACGUAAGAAAGUUGGUGGGACAGUGUGUGAGGCAGUCGGUGGAACAGUCCGAGACAGCCAUGGGACGAAGGACAGUCGUGAGACAGUCAUGGGACUGUCGUAGGACAGUCGUGAGACAGUCAUGGGACUGUCUGCGAGACAGAUUUCCGGCGGAACAGAGCCCCACCCUCCCCCAUCACCCUGUGUGACUCCCCCGUCACUAUUGUGGAUUCCUUCCGUUUCCUGGGCUCCAUCAUCACCCAGGACCUCAAGUGGGAGCUGAACAUCAGCUCCAUCACCAAGAAGGCUCAUCAGAGGUUGUUCUUCCUGAGGCAGCUGAAGAAACUCAACCUGCCAAAGACGAUGAUGGUCCACUUCUACACGGCCAUCAUCGAGUCCAUCCUCGGCUCCUCCAUCACCGUCUGGUACGCUGCAGCCACAGCCAAGGACAAGGGCAGGCUUCAGCGGGUCAUCCGCUCUGCAGAGAGGGUGAUCGGCUGCAAUCUGCCGUCCCUGCAGGACUUGUUCGCUUCCAGGUCUCUGAAGCAAGCUAAAAAGAUCGCGGCCGACCCCUCCCACCCCGGACAAAAACUGUUUGUGCCCCUUCCAUCUGGCAGGAGGCUGAGGUCCAUCAGGACUACGACCUCCCGCCACAAGAACAGUUUCUUCCCGUCGGCAGUCGGGCUCAUCAACAGAGCCCGAUCCCCCACUGCCUGACCAUAACACUCCACCCGUCACUCCCCCUCAUACUGCACAUGCCACUUUAACUGCAAUUCAUCACUUUGUCACUUGUCACUUUGUCUCUUGUCUGUUACUUGUUUGUUAGGGCACUUUAUGCUUAAUAUUUUUCUUUAACUUAAUAUUUCAAUUUUUUUUAACUUUAUUCCCUUGUUUUAUACUAACCCAUAGCCUUAGCCUUAUUCUACUAACCCAUUGCACUAGCAUUUCAUUCUACUUUAUUACUUGUGCACUGUUGUCUUGUCUGUCUACUGUCGCGCACUAACCGCCAAGACAAAUUCCUUGUAUGUUUGACAUAUUUUGGCUAAUAAAUAUUUCCUGAUUCCUGAUUCCUGAAGCCUGUAAGACGGUCGGUGAGACAGUCUUACAAACGAGCUGAAUGAGAUCUACUGCAGAUUCAAUAGACAAUGUCCUGAUCCCAUCCCCCACAGCUCCACCAACCUGCCCCAGUCCCCCACGUUAUGGUCCGGCUCAAAGGCCACAACAAAUAAGAGGAAAUCACGCUCCAGGGAGAACCAGCCAAAGAUGUUUAUUCACCAAACUGAUUAAACAAACAAAACACAGCAAAGGGAAACACUAUUGUGCUGGGGACCAGGAGAACCCCAAGCAGUCAACCCCAAACAAUCAGAAAGGGCAGGUUUUAAUGCACUCAAGAGACAGCGGACAGCUGCGUCGAAUCUGCCUUAUGGCCUCAGCUCCACUCCACCAGGAAGUUUACCCGGUAACACACACACAGACAGACACACCCACAAAUACCCUGGCAGUGGCCCUGGGGCCGUCACACCCACCCCUCCGUCCCCCAGCCCAUCAGGGGCUCACGCCUCUGUAUCACCUUCCCCUCCCCCACGUACCAGCCUGCUUCAAGGCCUCCACCAUCAUCCCUAUUCCCAAGCAGCCCAGGAUCACAGGACUCAAUGACUACAGGCCCACCUCCCUGACCUCUGUAGUCAUGAAGUCUUUUGAACGGCUAGUCCUGUCCCACCUGAAGACCCUCACUGACCCCCUCCUGGACCCCCUGCAGUUCGCCUACAGAAUCAACAGGUCUGUGGACGAUGCUGUCAACAUGGCCCUCAACUACAUCCUCCAGCCUCUGGACUCCCCAGGAACCUACGCCAGGAUCCGGUUUGUGGACUUCAGCUCUGCCUUCAACACCAUCAUCCCGUCUCUGCUGCAGGACAAACUCUCAGCUACACAGACAAAUAACAAAGGAUCCAAACAAAUAAGUAAGGCCUGUCUCUCGUACACAGUUAAAAUAUUUCUUGACCUAGUUAGGAGGCCAAAACAAGGCAAACCCAAACAGGGUUAAUUUAACAAAAGGCAAAGAAACAGGGUUAAUUUAAGCAAAGCAUUGGUCUCUGGCAGGUUAGCGGGUGUAGAGCUGAUGCUCAGUGAUCCAUGCCCGGUCAGGCCGCUUCAGCCAAACAGCGUGGGUCGGAGGGAUCGACGCUACCAUGAGAAUUACCAGCGGCGGACAUUGAGUGCAUCAGGUGGAGAGUAGUAUGCAGCCACACCAGUGAGCUUCUGUCACCACACAGCGCCGCGUGAAAGACGCCUGGCUAAUGAAAUGCAGACAGGUGCUCUGAGGCCGCCUUUGUACCGCAUUGUCAUGCAGCGAUUGGCUGUGAUCCAGACCCAGCUGAAAGUUAUUAGGACCAAUCACUGCAUACUGCCACACAAGCCCAAAAGAUCGUAGCCGACCCCUCUCACCCCAGACAAAACCUGUUUGUGCCCCUUCCAUCUGGAAGGAGGCUGAGGUCCCUUCAGGGCUAAGACCUCCCGCCACACGAACAGUUUCUUCCCUUCGGCAGUCGGGCUCAUCAACAGAGCCCGGUCAUCCACUGACUGACUCUGACAUUCCUCUGGUCACUUUCUUUUAAAAUUCAUAUUUUUAAAUCUAACUUUAUUCUUUUAUUUUAAACUAACCCAUAUAAUAAAAUGCUAAUGCUAUGGGGUAGUUAACAUUAGCAUUUUAUUUUAUUACGCGUGCACUGCUAGUUUGUCUAUUGUCAUACUGUCUACUGUCACGCACCAACCGCCAAGUCACAUUCCUUGUAUGUAUGACAUAUUUUGGCGAUAAAUGUCAAUGACACCUCCAAUCUACAGCAGAACCUGGCAUAUCAGGAGAUUGGAGCUACUUAGGCUCUACCACCACCACCAGUGUCUGGACUCCCAAAGGGGGGAUAUGCCUCAUCUCAGCAUCCUGGCCCCUGCGGCAGGAUGGAGUCCAAGCCCCAAACAACUUUGCAAUAUAAGUAUUUAUGCCUGUUAUAAUAAAGCAUUGUUAAAAUUUCAAGAA